GCGGACGUGGCGGAAUGGUAGACGCAGCGGACUUAAAAUCCGCUUGGGUUAUCCCAGUGCGGGUUCGAGUCCCGCCGUCCGCACCA
Molecule: transfer RNA, 86 nt
Filed under: Novosphingobium sp.
Lineage: Bacteria; Pseudomonadati; Pseudomonadota; Alphaproteobacteria; Sphingomonadales; Sphingomonadaceae
Description: tRNA-Leu
Rfam family: tRNA
About the family: Transfer RNA (tRNA) molecules are approximately 80 nucleotides in length.
Source: RNAcentral